GGAAGCGGUGGGCUGCAAAGCGGAGCGGUGCUGGCAUCAUGUCGGGCCGAGAGGGCGGCAAGAAGAAGCCGCUGAAGCAGCCGAAGAAGCAGACGAAGGACCUGGAUGAGACAGAUCUGGCAUUUAAACAAAAGCAGAAGGAGGAGCAAAAGAAACUUGAGGAGAUGAAAGCAAAGGCUGCUGGAAAAGGGCCCCUCGCGAGCGGCGGAAUAAAGAAGUCUGGCAAAAAGUAGCUCCGAGCUGCAGGAUAAGACGCGUUCAGCUUACACGGCGGAUCUGCAGCCUUCGGAACAUGAGGAGAAGUCGCUAGCACUUGGAGAGCAUUGUACAUUUUGUUUAGUCAGAAUAAAACUUUUUGUUAACAGGUGA
Gallus gallus (chicken) is the source of this 369-nucleotide RNA transcript. It is a transcript of the gene named translation machinery associated 7 homolog, with no coding region annotated. The transcript is spliced from 4 exons. The record is from RefSeq and is marked validated. NCBI's taxonomy places the organism in Eukaryota, Metazoa, Chordata, Aves, Galliformes, Phasianidae.